Molecule: ribosomal RNA, 253 nt
Filed under: uncultured bacterium
Lineage: Bacteria
Description: partial 16S ribosomal RNA
Rfam family: Bacterial small subunit ribosomal RNA
Source: RNAcentral
UACGGAGGGAGCAAGCGUUGUUCGGAAUUACUGGGCGUAAAGCGCACGUAGGCGGCGAGUCAAGUCAGAGGUGAAAGCCCGGGGCUCAACCCCGGAACUGCCUUUGAAACUAGAUUGCUAGAAUCCUGGAGAGGCGAGUGGAAUUCCGAGUGUAGAGGUGAAAUUCGUAGAUAUUCGGAAGAACACCUGUGGCGAAGGCGACUCGCUGGACAGGUAUUGACGCUGAGGUGCGAAAGCGUGGGGAGCAAACAGG